Molecule: ribosomal RNA, 456 nt
Filed under: uncultured organism
Description: partial 16S ribosomal RNA
Rfam family: Bacterial small subunit ribosomal RNA
Source: RNAcentral
UACACUCCUACGGGAGGCAGCAGUGGGGAAUUUUACGCAAUGGGGGAAACCCUGACGUAGCGACACCGCGUGAGCGAAGAAGCCCUUUGGGGAGUAAAGCUCUGUCAGCUGGAACGAAAACAAUGACGGUACCAGCAGAGGAAGCAUCGGCUAACUACGUGCCAGCAGCCGCGGUAAGACGUAGGAUGCGAGCGUUGUCCGGAUUUAUUGGGCGUAAAGAGUUCGAAGGUGGUUUGUUAAGUUUGGUGUUAAAGAUCGGGGCUCAACCCUGGGACUGCACUGAAUACUGGCGGACUCGAGUGUGGUAGAGGCUAGUGGAAUUCCCAGUGUAGCGGUGAAAUGCGUAGAUAUUGGGAAGAACACCGGUGGCGUAGGCGACUAGCUGGGCCAUAACUGACGCUGAGGAACGAAAGCCAGGGGAGCGAAUGGGAUUAGAUACCCCUGUAGUCCCAUGAU